Molecule: unclassified non-coding RNA, 223 nt
Filed under: uncultured fungus
Lineage: Eukaryota; Fungi
Description: sequence contains ITS1
Source: RNAcentral
CAAGGAACACGUGCUUGCGUUCGUCGCAUGUCACAGUUUUUCAACCCCACUCCGAGUACUAUUUCCUGUUGCUUCCGCGGGGCGGCGCGCUUCUGCGUGCGACCGCGAAGGGUUGACCCUUUGCCGGGUUUUCCCUGAGCGGGACAGUCUCCGCGGGAGGUACGCAAGCAAACCCUUUGCUUUUUGGUGACCUCUGUCUGACUUUGGUACAUAACAAAUGUUA